Molecule: long non-coding RNA, 371 nt
Filed under: Homo sapiens (human)
Lineage: Eukaryota; Metazoa; Chordata; Mammalia; Primates; Hominidae
Description: non-protein coding lnc-IL2RA-5:3
Source: RNAcentral
GGAUCGUGCCACUGCACUCCAGCCUGGAUGACAGAGUGAGACUUCGUCUCAAAAAAAAAAAAAAAAAAAGUUGAGCCUGGUGAUCCGUUUCAGUCUUGCAGGAUGAAAAAGUUCUAGAGAUGGUUGGUGGUGAUGGUUGUACAACACUGAAUAUAUUUAACACCACUGAGCUGUAUACUUAAAAAUGUUGAAGAUGGUAAAUUAUAAGUGUAUUUACCACAAUUAAAAAUGUUUACAUUAGAAAUUAAAGGCCACCCUGGGCAACAUAGUGAAACCCUGUUUCUACAAAAUUAAAAAUUAAAAAAUUAGCCAGGCAUGGUGGCACCCUCCUGUAAUCCCACCCACUCGGGAGGCUGAGGUGGGAGGAUCGC